Molecule: ribosomal RNA, 487 nt
Filed under: uncultured soil bacterium
Lineage: Bacteria
Description: bacterial SSU rRNA
Rfam family: Bacterial small subunit ribosomal RNA
Source: RNAcentral
AGAUUGAACGCUGGCGGCAGGCCUAACACAUGCAAGUCGAGCGGUAGAGAGAAGCUUGCUUCUCUUGAGAGCGGCGGACGGGUGAGUAAUGCCUAGGAAUCUGCCUGGUAGUGGGGGAUAACGUUCGGAAACGAACGCUAAUACCGCAUACGUCCUACGGGAGAAAGCAGGGGACCUUCGGGCCUUGCGCUAUCAGAUGAGCCUAGGUCGGAUUAGCUAGUUGGUGAGGUAAUGGCUCACCAAGGCGACGAUCCGUAACUGGUCUGAGAGGAUGAUCAGUCACACUGGAACUGAGACACGGUCCAGACUCCUACGGGAGGCAGCAGUGGGGAAUAUUGGACAAGUGGGCGAAAGCCUGAUCCAGCCAUGCCGCGUGUGUGAAGAAGGUCUUCGGAAUUGUAAAGCAACUUUAAGUUGGAAGGAAGGACAAUAACCUAAUACGUUAGUUGUUUGUAACGUUACCGACAGAAUAAGCAACCGGCUAACU